CGCACCUAGGCUAGGGAUAGAAACUUCAUACAUUUGAAAGAACAAGCUUAUUGGCUCCUGCUUACAUUCGGGAGUGUGCCAGAUUGCACUAUUUGGGAUCCAGAACUCAGGCAUCAAAGGAUGACCUUGACCUGAUAGCUUCAUGUCAUACUAAGUCCUUUCAGCUGGCAAAGUCUCAGAAACGGAACCGGGUAGAUUCCUGCCCUCACCAGGAGGAGACCCAGCACCAUACGGAAGAGGCACUGAGAGAGCUGUUUCAACAUGUUCACAAUAUGCCAGAGUCAGCAAAGAAGAAACAACUUAUUAGACAGUUUAAUAAGCAAUCAUUGACCCACACACCAGGGCGAGAACCUUCUACUUCCCAGGUACAGAAGAGGGCUCGUUCGCGCUCCUUCAGUGGGCUUAUUAAGCGGAAGGUCCUGGGAAAUCAGAUGAUGUCAGAAAAGAAAAAGAAGAACCCUACUCCAGAAUCUGUGGCCAUUGGUGAAUUGAAGGGAACCAGCAAAGAAAAUAGGAACUUAUUAUUUUCUGGCUCUCCGGCUGUCACGAUGACACCAACAAGAUUGAAGUGGUCUGAAGGGAAGAAAGAGGGGAAAAAAGGAUUUCUCUGAAGGAUCCAGAGUUGUCUCCUAUGGUCCAUGCAGAAUUUUCUCUUUAGUGGGCAGGUGUUAUUCCUGCCCACAGCAAAGCUUGGACUUGCAGCUUGCUUGCUGCAUUUUGAAUUGUCAAAGCCAACUAAUACCAUGACCCGACUGAUACCUCUAAUCCCACUCACUUGAUGUUUGCAAGCUGUGCCUUCUGAGAGAGUGCUUAGGCUCUGUCUCUCUUUUUUAAUAUUACGGGGAAACCACUAACUAUCCAACCAGCUUAUACAGCACAGUGAGGUGGGCUUCAGUUCUCGUUCAAUGUGUUUAGGCAGAUUCCACUUUUGAAAAAAAAUAUGAAAUGUGUGCUCAACUGCCAGUAAUUUUUUAAAAAGCACUGUCCCAGUGGAUUGAUGUUGUUUUUAAUGGAUAUUUUGGGUUUUUCUCUGUUUUGAUAGUGUUGGGUAUUUUGUUGUUUUUGUUUGUUUAUUUCUUUGUUUUAAAAGCCAUGUUUUUGGAUGGGCCCUAAGCUAGAUGCCUUUCCUUCUUUUUCACUUUGAGCUUUGGGAAAACUCUUUAUCUUAUGAGGCUGUAUUCCUCAAUACCUAAUUUGUGUCCAAAGAAUUUAUAGCUUUUCUGGACAUUUUUUAUUAUUUCUUGGGUCUGACAUCAGAGUAUUUGACCUGCAGUAUUGAAAAAGGAGAAUUCAGAAUGAUACAAUAUUUUAACAAAUCUUAAUUAUUAAACUCUUUUCCUUCCUUCCAUUUCUCCCUCCCUUGUCCAUCUCUCUCCCUCUUUCCCUUUCCUCAGUGAUGUGAAAAUAAUUGUGUUUUGCUGAGAUUGUUACCUUCAUUCAAUUUCCUCUUGACUAAAACAUCUCUGGUGCCAACGUAAUACUUCUGAACCAAAUCACUGUGACUCAAGGAAAGUCACUGACAGCAUAAUAGAAGUUUGCUAAAAUAUUUGUAUGUGGGGGAAGCUCUGGAGUGUGCCUAGGAGGGGGCUGGCUGCCUUUAUGUCCCAGGAUGACUCUUUAUGGGUGUGAUUACAUUGCACCCUCUGAGGGUGCAGGCUAGACCGUCUCCUGAGAGGAAGUUAGAAUCAGAAAAAAGAAGCAAGCAGCAGCCUCUGCAGGGCUGACAGGAUUUAAAGGAGAGAAUGUUCUUAUUAGGAAGCAGCUGUGGCUUGUCACCAGUGUUCAAGGAGUGUUACUGUUCCGCCCUCUCCUUGUCAGAAGGGACACAGGUAGUAAGUUGGAGAUGGGGCCAGAGCUUCUGGCUUUUGGAUUUGGUGUGUUCACUUGUGUUGGAUGGAGCAGUGGCAUGGCUUUGACCUAGUAUGAACUGGUGUCUGCCCAGAGAGCAGCAUGUGGCAGGGGGGAAUGCUCAGGUUUGUGCCUGGCUCUGUGAAGCUGUACCACCCUUCUCACCCUGUGGGUUGGAGCCUAGUCAGGCCACUAUGGGGAAGCAGUUGCCCCACAAAAUGUGGUCUGCUGACCUAUUUCUAAACUGUUGAAUAUGCUGCGCCAUUGCUGAAAUGAAAGAUGACUCUGGGGGAGCAGAGUUUGGCCUUGUGCCCAGCUGGCAGCCCUCUCUGCCAGCCUUUCUGCUGCUUUUGCUGCUGUAACAGCAAUAGUGGAGAAAAAUGUAAAAUUUGGUCUUCCAGCUUAAUACAGUGUGAACAAUAGAUGGUUAGGAAAACAAAACUGCUUAGAAGCCCCUUUCUCUAGAGCAGUUUUAUGUCAUUACAUAUUAGCAAAUUUGUUUGCGUAGGUUUCUAUUAAAUAUUUGACUUUUUUUUUUCUUUUUAAGAAAAUGAAAUUCCUUAUACCAGACAUCAGUUAAUUAGAACAGAAAACCCUUUUGGUAUCACCAAAUUGAAAUGGUAUUCUUCCUUAACUCUUCCUUCUUUCCUUUAUUUGUUUAGACGUGCUUCAUCCUGAAGUGGUGCUAUGGUCUGUUAAACAGGGCUGGCAUCAGGUAGAGGGAGCAGGGUGGUGACCUGAUAGCUCCUGUCAUCGUGUUAGUUUUUGAUUCUAUUUAAGGGAAGUAGCUGAGAUUUAGACGGAUGUAGACGCUCUUUGGGUGAAUGGAGUCAUAAGCAAGGGUUGUGUUCUGGGGUGAGGAUCAUGAGAGAGAUAUCUAUCACAUGCACAUGCCUUUAUAUAGCUGGUCUCCUUGGGUAGUUUAUGUGUGUUUUGUUUAUUUAUUGAAUAUGUUUUCCCUUGCUUUAGGGGUUUUAUAGGUCAUUUUUCUUAAUAGAAGCUGUGAUCGACUUAGAAUCCAAAUUUGAGGAGUAAGCAGCAUAACCUUCUACCUUGUAAUAUGUAACUAUUCUAAUCCUGUGGAAUCUUAUGGAAAACACAGAGAAAACCCCUUUUAUCAUUUGCCACAGAAGGCUGCUGUCUCCCUUCUGAUUUGGUGGGCAGGUAUUGUUUUUGAGCCAGUAUUUAACAGAGUUUUUUAAUCUGUAAGAUUUUUUUUGAAUCUAUUUCAUUGUGUUUGUUUUUCAUGUUGGAACAAUCUCUCUGGAAGUGCCUCCUGUGGCUUUUACAACUUCAUUUCUUUCUGGGGUCACCUGUGAUGGACUUUGAUGUGUUGUCAAUUUGGGGCCUUGUGUUUGUGCCAGAGGGAUACACAUAUUAAACUGUAGGCCACCUUCCUGGUCCAGACUGUACUGUGUGAACCCCACUGACUAAAUUAGUGAGAACCAUAGGCGUUGGAGUUUCUCACCUUUUACAAUGAUAGACUUUUGCAUUGGGACCAAUGAAUCUGGUGUGAAAAACCCUGCUGCAGCAGUGAAAGAGCAUCAGGAGAUACUGGCUGUACCUGAGGGCCAAAAUAGGAGCAGGUAACGAACCGUAAAAAAAGGAGCAGGUAAUGAAUCGUAACCAAAACUACAGUUGAUCCUCUGAAAAGGAAAGCUCUUUACCCAGAAUGUCCUUCCAGAGUCAUUCAGGAAGGACAAGGGAACACCCUUGGGAAAUGGGCUAGUGGAGGGCUGUUGACUGCAGUGACACCUGGGUGCUCCGGAGGUAUCUGUUGUGUUGACCUGUAAGGAAGCAGUCGAUCCUAGAGUGUCAGAACAGAGCCAUUCUCUCCUCCUGAGUAGGAACGUUUCUGUUCAGCUUCCCUCACAGGAGCCUGUGUUAGCAUGCAGUUGAAAAUACUGCCUUCUAGGAGAACCUGUGGUCAUUGGAAACGUGCCCCACAGUGACUGGCCAUGCAACCGGGUGAUUUUUAGGAAUAGAUGUCUCUAGACUCUGUCUCCUUUCCUACAAGGCCUCACACAGAUGCUUGAGGCUAAUGGCCCCGAUUCUGAGGUCAUUUUUGUGUAGAACUCCUUUCCCCAGGAGAGAGAGAGCCUUAUCUCUGCUCUCCUUUACCCUGAAGCCUUCAAACGGAAGACAGGACCUAGAUCUAAACCUAUCUACUAGCAUUUUGUGGGAUUGUCUAGAAUUUGGGGAAGAUUUGGGUUCCUAAGAUGCACAAGCUUUUUACACCAGUGGUGAUUAACUCAACUAAAAGUCACUGCAGGAAGUUAGCUUCCCUAGACAGCUAAUGCCGAGAACUUCUGCCAGCAUAGAGUUGACAGAAGCAGGCCAGCGAGGAGGUGUGGGACAUAAUAGCCUGAGUGCUUGGGUUACCAUGGAGACUGGAGUGUGUGAGGCCACAGCCUGUGCUAAAGAGCCAUGGAGCCCUCCCCGGCCAUGUCUGGGGACAGAUAGAACCUGAUGGGGGAAAUAUUCCCUCACCCCAGGGUUCUUUCUGCAGAGCAAGAGUUGCCUUUGUCCUAUCCCUGAGCUUGCUCAACAAGAGAAGCAAGGUUUCUUAACUGUUUUGUUUGAAGUUUUCAUUCUUAUUUGACUAUAUGUAUGUAAUUGUAAAGAAACGAUCCUAUGCAUUGUGUUUCUUUUAUAUUCUUGUAAUAUUCUUAAAUUAAAAUUGUUUUGUUUCAU
Molecule: small RNA, 4542 nt
Filed under: Pongo abelii (Sumatran orangutan)
Lineage: Eukaryota; Metazoa; Chordata; Mammalia; Primates; Hominidae
Description: processed transcript
Source: RNAcentral